GAAACUAGCGUGUAUGAAAAACUUUGAAAAUAGCGAAAAGUCACUAAAAGAAGGAGUAACUCCGAGUGUUUAGGUAGAACUAGUCUACGUUUAAAUGCUAAGCGGGAAAAUAACCGCUGUAACGAGUAAAACUAAUUUAGAUUUAGCGUUCACUGACAGAGCUACAGCACCAAACAGUGUACACAGAGCAGGAAGUAAACCGGAAAUGAGUCUGUACGCUUACCGUAGCACGUCACGACAAGACAACUGGAAACUAUGGUACCUGCACUGCCUCUAGUGGUACACAAAACUAAAAUAGAAUUGAUGAAAAAUUACAUUAGUUAAUUUUAAAACAAUUAGAACUAGAUUCAGAUUCAGAUUCAUUCUUUAUUGUCCUCAGUGGAAGAAAUUUGUUUUCACAGUCUGUACAAAGAGCCCCUUCAGCAUGAGUUCUACACACAAACUACACAUAGUACACAUACAGACAAUAUACACAUAUCUACACAUAUAACACAGGAGUGACAUCGUUAACUUGUCUGUGAGUUUAAAGGAGACAUAUUAUGCCCUUUUUCAGGUUCAUAAUUGUAUUUUGUGGCUCUCCUACAAUAGGUUUAGAUGUUUUAAUGUUCAAAAAACACAUUAUUUUACUCAUACUGCCUACAGCUGAGCACCUCUUUUCAGCCUCUGUCUGAAUCGCUAGGUUUUAGCGCCUGUCUCUUUAAGACCCCCCUCCCGAAAAGCCCAGUCUGCUCUGAUUGGUCAGCAUUAUGACGCGGCUCAUGCGGAUGACGCGGCUCACGCGGAUGACACUCCGGCCCCUCCCCUUCGUUGCCGGCAGGUAGCUCCCCUAACUGCUACUGAGAUUAGCUUCAUUUCUACCGUCAAUAUUAAUUCAAUAACUGCUUCUAAAGCAAAAACUUCACCAGCGGACAUGUUAGAGCGGGAGUCUGACCUGAAAUCACAGAGAAAUGAACAACAUCAACAAUCAGUAUUACAGCUUUCUGUGACGUUUUCCUCAGGUACAGCAGUGAGCAGUGACCUACAGUCUACACAGCCCAGUGAAGUUAAACAUAUUAUAUAUUACAUAAUAUUAACAACAUUAGUCAAGCAGUUGUUUCUAGUGAAGAAAUACCCAGUAAAUGUACCAAAGUAAUCAGAGUAAUAGUAUGAUGAUUACUGUAACCUCCCAUCUGUUAUAUUCUUUAUACACAUUAGUUUACUGAGACCAUGGAAACAGAAACCUGCAAUACUUUAUCCUGUACAACAUGUCAACAUAACUGAAGGAAUCACUCAUCUAAUAAAGUAACUUGUUCAUGUGGUUUAAAAACUGCUAAGUAACCAACUGUUAACUGUACUGUAUCCAUAUUUCAUAGUCUGAUAUUUUAACUUAAAAGUAUUAUUACCAAAGUUAACCUUCAGAUAUGUGUAAAAGCUGCAAUUAUGUUUGAACCCCAUUAAAAAUACUGUAUACUGAAUAUUCUAUCAUUUAUAUUAUAUACUGUAUUAUGAUGUCAUUUAUCUUCCAAUGUAAUAAAGUUUGAAUGUGAGACAGUAAUGUAUUGUGUUGCUUACAGUCAUUAAUACAGGUUUAAGUUCCACAAUUUCAUAUUGAUAGAUGUAACACGAAUCAGGUUUUCAACUCUUGUACAUCCAGGAAAUCUUCAUAAAACCUCUGAAAUAACAUGUUAUUUAUAUAAAACCACACUUAUUACUGAAUUUAAAAAUGACCAAAACUCUUCUUAAAAAUAAAACUUUAUUAAUGUUUCAUUCGUAUUCCAGUUACACAUAAAUAUGAAUUGUGUGUAUGCUAGUAACAAAGCUAUAACUUCAAUGUAAACUGUGCAGAUCAUGUCCUCCAUCAAGGUUUAUGGUUUCUAGUAUACUGAAGUGUGAGCUGGUAACGGUGCUCUGCAGUCAGUGUUCAUCUUCAUCAGUCUUCCUUUGGAUACCCAGACUGUCCUGAUGCUGCAGCUGUCUCUGUCCUCUGAUGGGUCCAGGAACACCUGAGCUUCAUCAGGUCACCUGUAAAACAUGGAGGAUUCAGUGUUACUUGUAAAGCAGCAUAUAAUAUACAGUAUAAUAUAAUAUACAGUAUAAUAUAACAUACAGUAUAAUAUAACAUACAGUAUAAUAUAAUAUACAGUAUAAUAUAAUACAGUAUAAUAUAAUAUACAGUAUAAUAUAAUACAGUAUAAUAUAAUAUACAGUAUAAUAUAAUAUACAGUAUAAUAUAAUAUACAGUAUAAUAUAAUACAGUGUAAUAUAAUACAGUAUAAUAUAAUAUACAGUAUAAUAUAAUAUACAGUAUAAUAUAAUACAGUACAACAGCUCAUUGUGGCUCACAAGUAGUCCUAAGUUAUAAAAUAAAAUAAUAAGCAGUGUCUCUGGUGGUUCCUGGUUGCAGCUAACUGUAGUGAUGUGUUGUUGAAACAGUCUGAGGUUACCAACACAAUGUCUAUCUAAUGGCAGCAGAUACACACACAGGACAUUUACUGACUGUAACUGAUGUUGGAACAAGUUCCCGGUGCAAUAACAGACAUUUAGCAGUGAGCCUCAGUGUUUAUAAUACAACAGGAGAUUAUAUGAGUAUAGGUAAUUACACUGGACCUGCACUUAUAUCGUCAGUAAUAGCAGUACUUCAGUAACGCUAAAUAAAUGGAUCAGAAAACUUUUAUUAGUCGGUUUGAUUCCACAAAACAACCUAGUGAGCAACCCCAGCUGCUGGGUGCUCUGUGAUUCUCUGUAUAAACUUAUAAUAAACUUUGUGUGAAUCUCUAUAACAAUAUCAGCAGGGGAGAAUAUGGAGACAUCUGCACCAGCUGGUUAAUACAUUAACUUCACCUUUAAGUUUCAUGUUCAUCUUGCACACAUUUAACAAACAUUUAACAAACAUUUAACAAACAUUUAACUAACAAUAAACGUUAGCAUCACUGAGGCUCCUGUAGCUAACAGCGGUUAGCAUGUGCUAGCAGUACACGAACAAUGAAAAACAGCAUCAAUUGUUAAAAAUCCUUCCAGUGACUUCCUCUGCCGUCUCUCCACAGACAGUUGGUACAAUCCCUCUUUCAGGAACAGUCUUUCAGUCAGUCCAGUGUUGUACUGACCGAGGUUGUGAAAACAGUCCGACACAAAGUGGUUCAGACACACAUUCCGGUUUUUGUGACUCUAGCCGGACAUUGCCGUAAAACAUAAUUUACAUACAUUUACAUACAUUUACAUAUGUAAAUUAGUGUUGGGCUGUGCAGCCAAUGACUGAACAGUUUGUCUGUUGAGGCCUUUGCCCAGACAUUAGGCUGCAGACUGCAGGCUGGACUUGCUUGUUCUCCACUAGCUUGCCUUUUAUAGUAACAAUGGCGGAGCUCCGAUAGUCAACAGGAAGUAAAGAGAGGUGGGUGGCAACAGGGAGAGCAUGUGACGUCACAAACUACACACUUCUGAACCUGCGUGAUUUCUCUCCUAUAUUCUGACUGAGGCAGCCCACAAAAACAUGACUGAGUCAUUUUUUUCCACUUGCCUGCUGAUAGGCCCUCCAGAGUCCCAAAUGUACAUAAUCAAAUGAUUCAAAAGUUGGUUUUGCAUAAUAUGUCCCCUUUAACGCUCUUAUAGCACAGGGUACAACACUUUUUCCAAAGCGUGCCUUUUUGUAGAGCAGCUGUCUUUAUCUAUGGCCAGAUGGGAGAAGGGUGAAGCAUGAGUUGAUGAUGAUGCCAAGGUACCUGAAGAGAGGGAAGGAGAGUUUACGGCGUGUGUCCAGGAUGAGUUCCUUUGUCUUGGUGACUUUGAGGAGAAGGUGACUGUCUUUACACCAUUGGGUGAAGUGGGCAAUGGAUUGGUGAUAUGCCCACUUCACCCAAUGGUGUAAAGACAGUCACAUUAACUAUGAGAAUAC
Dicentrarchus labrax (European seabass) is the source of this 3868-nucleotide long non-coding RNA. The record is from Ensembl. NCBI's taxonomy places the organism in Eukaryota, Metazoa, Chordata, Actinopteri, Moronidae.